GAGGACAUAGCUCAGUAGUAGAGCGCAUGCUUAGCAUGCUAUGAGGUCCUGGGUUCAAUCCCCAGUGCCUCCA
RNAcentral lists this transfer RNA (73 nucleotides) under Camelus bactrianus (Bactrian camel). It matches the Rfam family "tRNA". From Rfam's summary of the family: Transfer RNA (tRNA) molecules are approximately 80 nucleotides in length. Their secondary structure includes four short double-helical elements and three loops (D, anti-codon, and T loops). Lineage: Eukaryota; Metazoa; Chordata; Mammalia; Artiodactyla; Camelidae. The record is from Rfam by way of RNAcentral. RNAcentral also lists the same sequence under 2 other names.